GGCCAUUAUGAGCAUGGAGGAGCAGACUUCCCUUCUGGGUGCUAACAGGUUCUGUGGAGUAGUUCUGAGAUGUGAGUUGGUGAGAGAAUGAUGUCCAGAGCCAGCAGAUCAGGCCAAACUCCAGGGCUGCACACCUACCAAGGGCAAGAGGAAGACAGAGAGCUGUAGGACUGCAGGUGGAUGCUAACGAGGACCCGUAGUCCACUGAGUGCCUGGUAAUGGAUUCUGAUGGCUUGGAAUAUACUGGAGAUACAGCCUUCAGCCAUCGUUUUUCAACCACCUCGGGGAAUCAGUGCUUAAUGGGCUCCACGACAGACACAGCUUCUCCAGAAUGGCGCCAAGCAGUACACUCUGUGGACAAGGACUAAGUGUCCCCACCUGGAGCCCCAGUUUUUCCUUGCAGAGGAACUUGCAAGGAGCUGCAGGGAGCGUGCAGGGAGCUACAGAGAACUUAUCCCACCCUCGGCCAUCAAAGCAAGGUACCAGCCUCUACCUCUGCAGCCACAAGACCAUGGUGAACAGCUGUGAGUCCUGAGCACUUCAGAGUCAGUGUAUUACUGAUCCCUUCAAGACAGUGCCGCUUGCCAUCAGGGCCUCAAUAACCGUGAGCUCGUUAUUCGUUCACUAGAAGACUCCAGGCAGUGGCUGCCAAGGUCAUUACAGUGAUAGCAGAGGUUUGCAUAGAGUCAGAUAAUACUGAUCAUUUUGAUGGAAAGGAAUCCUGAAGUUUGAGGCAUAAUGUUAAAGUGACAACAAUAGAAAUUUUUGGAGAUUGGAUAAAGAAGACGUUUUUCUAUAAAAUGGAAUACUACUCAGCCAUAAAGAAUGAGAAAUUAGAGUCAUUUGUAGGAAAAUGGACACAUAUUGAGGAUAUACUCCUAAGUGAAAUAAAUAAGUCACAUAUAUAUAAAUACUGAAUAAUUUAUCUGGUGUGAAAAACUAUAAUAGUACAUAAUAUCCUAAUGAUAUAAUUGAGAAUGUGAAAUAGAAAGAAAAGGGCUAAAGGUGUAGGGGAA
RNAcentral lists this long non-coding RNA (1016 nucleotides) under Fukomys damarensis (Damara mole-rat). RNAcentral describes it as "lncRNA (ENSFDAG00000023662.1)". The record is from RNAcentral. Lineage: Eukaryota; Metazoa; Chordata; Mammalia; Rodentia; Bathyergidae.